AGAGUUUGAUCAUGGCUCAGAUUGAACGCNGGCGGUAUGCUUAACACAUGCAAGUCGAACGGAAACGAUACUAGCUUGCUNGUAGGCGUCGAGUGGCGGACGGGUGAGUAACGCGUAGGAAUCUACCUAAUAGUGGGGGAUAGCCCGGAGAAAUCCGGAUUAAUACCGCAUAAUCUCUAUGGAGUAAAGGGGCCCUCUUCUUGAAAGGUUUCGCUAUCAGAUGAGCCUGCGUAAGAUNAGCUAGUUGGUGAGGUAAAAGCUCACCAAGGCGACGAUCUUUAGCUGGUCUGAGAGGAUGAUCAGCCACACUGGGACUGAGACACGGCCCAGACUCCUACGGGAGGCAGCAGUGGGGAAUAUUGGACAAUGGGGGCAACCCUGAUCCAGCAAUACCGCGUGUGUGAAGAAGGCCUGAGGGUUGUAAAGCACUUUCAAUUGUGAAGAAAAG
RNAcentral lists this ribosomal RNA (448 nucleotides) under uncultured marine bacterium. RNAcentral describes it as "bacterial SSU rRNA". It matches the Rfam family "Bacterial small subunit ribosomal RNA", at positions 8 to 452 of the family's 1533-position model. The record is from RNAcentral.